This 588-nucleotide ribosomal RNA is filed under the name uncultured bacterium. Its description in RNAcentral is "bacterial SSU rRNA". It matches the Rfam family "Bacterial small subunit ribosomal RNA", at positions 296 to 1533 of the family's 1533-position model. The record is from RNAcentral.
UCGCCCGGCCCGGCCCCGCGCCCGGCCCGCCGCCCCCGCCCCCCUACGGGAGGCAGCAGUGGGGAAUAUUGCACAAUGGGCGCAAGCCUGAUGCAGCGACGCCGCGUGAGGGAUGACGGCCUUCGGGUUGUAAACCUCUUUCAGUAGGGAAGAAGCGAAAGUGACGGUACCUGCAGAAGAAGCGCCGGCUAACUACGUGCCAGCAGCCGCGGUAAUACGUAGGGCGCAAGCGUUAUCCGGAAUUAUUGGGCGUAAAGAGCUCGUAGGCGGUUUGUCGCGUCUGCCGUGAAAGUCCGGGGCUCAACUCCGGAUCUGCGGUGGGUACGGGCAGACUAGAGUGAUGUAGGGGAGACUGGAAUUCCUGGUGUAGCGGUGAAAUGCGCAGAUAUCAGGAGGAACACCGAUGGCGAAGGCAGGUCUCUGGGCAUUAACUGACGCUGAGGAGCGAAAGCAUGGGGAGCGAACAGGAUUAGAUACCCUGGUAGUCCAUGCCGUAAACGUUGGGCACUAGGUGUGGGGGACAUUCCACGUUUUCCGCGCCGUACGCGUAACGCGGUUAAGUGCCCCGCCUCCACGUUCCCGACCUUG